CCCGCUCAGAAACUUAAAGGAAUUGACGGGGGCCCGCACAAGCGGUGGAGCAUGUGGUUUAAUUCGAUGAUACGCGAGGAACCUUACCUGGGCUCAAAUGUAUGUUGACGUAUUCUGAAAGGGAUACUUCUUCGGACAAUAUACAAGGUGCUGCAUGGUUGUCGUCAGCUCGUGCCGUGAGGUGUCGGGUUAAGUCCCAUAACGAGCGCAACCCCUAUCAUUAGUUGCCAUCAGGUCAAGCUGGGGACUCUAAUGAAACUGCCUACGCAAGUAGUGAGGAAGGUGGGGAUGACGUCAAAUCAGCACGGCCCUUACGUCCAGGGCUACACACGUGCUACAAUGGCCGGUACAAAGGGCAGCUACCUGGUGACAGGAUGCUAAUCUCAAAAGCCGGUCUCAGUUCGGAUCGGAGUCUGCAACCCGACUCCGUAGAAGCUGGAAUCGCUAGUAAUCGCGCAUCAGCCAUGGCGCAGUGAAUACGUUCCCGGGCCUU
RNAcentral lists this ribosomal RNA (493 nucleotides) under uncultured Sphingobacteriales bacterium. RNAcentral's name for it is "bacterial SSU rRNA". It matches the Rfam family "Bacterial small subunit ribosomal RNA", at positions 888 to 1382 of the family's 1533-position model. Lineage: Bacteria; Pseudomonadati; Bacteroidota; Sphingobacteriia; Sphingobacteriales. The record is from RNAcentral.